GAUCUUGGUCAGGAUUAACGCUGGCGGCGUGCCUAAUACAUGCAAGUCGGAUGGUUAGCUUGCUAACCAUGGCGAACGGGUGAGUAACACGUAGGUAACCUGUCUUAAAGACGAGGAUAACCAUUGGAAACGAUGGAUAAUACUGGAUAGGAUAUAUAAGGGCAUCCUGAUAUAUUUAAAGAUUUAUCACUUUAGUGAGGGGCCUGCGGCGCAUUAGUUAGAUGGCGGUGUAAAGGACCACCAUGACGAUGAUGCGUAGCCGGACUGAGAGGUUGAACGGCCACAAUGGGACUGAGAACGGCCCAUACUCCUACGGGAGGCAGCAGUAGGGAAUUUUCGGCAAUGGACGGAAGUCUGAACCCGAGCAACGCCGCGUGAACGAAGAAGUAUUUCGGUAUGUAAAGUUCUUUUAUUUGGGAAGAAAAGAUAAGAUUGACUGUACCAAAUGAAUAAGCUCCGGCUAACUACGUGCCAGCCGCCGC
Molecule: ribosomal RNA, 482 nt
Filed under: uncultured bacterium
Lineage: Bacteria
Description: bacterial SSU rRNA
Rfam family: Bacterial small subunit ribosomal RNA
Source: RNAcentral